CUUAAGGAAUUGACGGGACCGCACAAGCGGUGGAUGAUGUGGUUUAAUUCGAUGCAACGCGAAAACCUUACCCACCUUUGACAUGUACGGAACCUUUAGAGAUAGAGGGGUGCUCGAAAGAGAGCCGUAACACAGGUGCUGCAUGGCUGUCGUCAGCUCGUGUCGUGAGAUGUUGGGUUAAGUCCCGCAACGAGCGCAACCCUUGUCAUUAGUUGCUACAUUCAGUUGGGCACUCUAAUGAGACUGCCGGUGACAAACCGGAGGAAGGUGGGGAUGACGUCAAGUCCUCAUGGCCCUUAUAGGUGGGGCUACACACGUCAUACAAUGGAUGGUACAAAGGGUCGCCAACCCGCGAGGGGGAGCCAAUCCCAUAAAGCCAUUCGUAGUCCGGAUCGCAGUCUGCAACUCGACUGCGUGAAGUCGGAAUCGCUAGUAAUCGUGGAUCAGAAUGUCACGGUGAAUACGUUCCCGGGUCUU
This 477-nucleotide ribosomal RNA is filed under the name uncultured Acidovorax sp. Its description in RNAcentral is "bacterial SSU rRNA". It matches the Rfam family "Bacterial small subunit ribosomal RNA", at positions 904 to 1382 of the family's 1533-position model. The record is from RNAcentral. Lineage: Bacteria; Pseudomonadati; Pseudomonadota; Betaproteobacteria; Burkholderiales; Comamonadaceae.